GACGAACGCUGGCGGCGUGCUUAACACAUGCAAGUCGAACGGAAAGGCCCUGCUUUUGUGGGGUGCUCGAGUGGCGAACGGGUGAGUAACACUUGAGUAACCUGCCCUUGACUUUGUGAUAACUUCAGGAAACUGGGGCUAAUACCGGAUAGGAUCUCCUGCUGCAUGGUGGGGGUUGGAAAGUUUCGGCGGUUGGGGAUGGACUCGCGGCUUAUCAGCUUGUUGGUGGGGUAGUGGCUUACCAAGGCUUUGACGGGUAGCCGGCCUGAGAGGGUGACCGGACAAAUUGGGACUGAGAUACGGCCCAGAAUCAUACGGGAGGCAGCAGUGGGGAAUAUUGCACAAUGGGCGGAAGCCUGAUGCAGAAACGCCGCGUGCGGGAUGACGGCCUUCGGGUUGUAAACAGAUUUCGCCUGUGACGAAGCGUGAGUGACGGUAAUGGGUAAAGAAGCACCGGCUAACUACGUG
RNAcentral lists this ribosomal RNA (468 nucleotides) under uncultured bacterium. RNAcentral's name for it is "partial 16S ribosomal RNA". It matches the Rfam family "Bacterial small subunit ribosomal RNA", at positions 28 to 507 of the family's 1533-position model. The record is from RNAcentral.